GAUGAACGCUGGCGGCGUGCCUAAUACAUGCAAGUCGAGCGAACAGACGAGGAGCUUGCUCCUCUGAUGUUAGCGGCAGACGGGUGAGUAACACGUGGAUAACCUACCUAUAAGACUGGGAUAACUUCGGGAAACCGGAGCUAAUACCGGAUAACAUGUUGAACCGCAUGGUUCAACAGUGAAAGACGGUCUUGCUGUCACUUAUAGAUGGAUCCGCGCCGCAUUAGCUAGUUGGUAAGGUAACGGCUUACCAAGGCAACGAUGCGUAGCCGACCUGAGAGGGUGAUCGGCCACACUGGAACUGAGACACGGUCCAGACUCCUACGGGAGGCAGCAGUAGGGAAUCUUCCGCAAUGGGCGAAAGCCUGACGGAGCAACGCCGCGUGAGUGAAGAAGGUCUUCGGAUCGUAAAACUCUGUUAUUAGGGAAGAACAAAUGUGUAAGUAACUAUGCACGUCUUGACGGUACCUAAUCAGAAAGCCACGGCUAACUACGUG
RNAcentral lists this ribosomal RNA (497 nucleotides) under uncultured bacterium. RNAcentral describes it as "partial 16S ribosomal RNA". It matches the Rfam family "Bacterial small subunit ribosomal RNA", at positions 28 to 507 of the family's 1533-position model. The record is from RNAcentral.